UUGGUGAUGAUAAGAACUAAGAUGUGGCCAUGGAAGUGGCUGUUCAUUUGAUGUAGGGAUAUUAGUAUGGAUGGAGUGAAAAAAAAAACUGAACAGCCUAGACUUGGGAAGGCACUGAAGAAGUCUGAGUUGGUAUCAGGGUAAACCUAGCCUCACACAAUGAGUAGAGAAGUAAGUAUUCCUACCUCCAACAUUUUUGGCAAGAGUAUAUGACAAAUCCAGAUCCUGCUAUAUCCAUAAAUAUAUAGCUGAAAGUAAGUUGAAAUCACAGUGCAAUAUCAUUUUAUUUGAAAUAAGCUGAC
Suricata suricatta (meerkat) is the source of this 302-nucleotide long non-coding RNA. RefSeq lists it as uncharacterized. The record is from RefSeq and is a predicted model, not a curated record. The transcript has 3 exons. Lineage: Eukaryota; Metazoa; Chordata; Mammalia; Carnivora; Herpestidae.